RNAcentral lists this ribosomal RNA (301 nucleotides) under uncultured bacterium. RNAcentral describes it as "partial 16S ribosomal RNA". It matches the Rfam family "Bacterial small subunit ribosomal RNA", at positions 509 to 807 of the family's 1533-position model. The record is from RNAcentral.
CAGUCGCCGCGGUAAUACAGAGGGUGCAAGCGUUAAUCGGAAUUACUGGGCGUAAAGCGUGCGCAGGCGGUUAUAUAAGACAGAUGUGAAAUCCCCGGGCUUAACCUGGGAACUGCAUUUGUGACUGUAUAGCUAGAGUACGGCAGAGGGGGAUGGAAUUCCGCGUGUAGCAGUGAAAUGCGUAGAUAUGCGGAGGAACACCGAUGGCGAAGGCAAUCCCCUGGGCCUGUACUGACGCUCAUGCACGAAAGCGUGGGGAGCAAACAGGAUUAGAUACCCGAGUAGUCCCUGUCUCUUAUAC